UGGGGAAUAUUGCGCAAUGGGGGGAACCCUGACGCAGCCAUGCCGCGUGAAUGAAGAAGGCCUUCGGGUUGUAAAGUUCUUUCGGUAUUGAGGAAGGUUGAUGUGUUAAUAGCACAUCAAAUUGACGUUAAAUACAGAAGAAGCACCGGCUAACUCCGUGCCAGCAGCCGCGGUAAUACGGAGGGUGCGAGCGUUAAUCGGAAUAACUGGGCGUAAAGGGCACGCAGGCGGUUAUCUAAGUGAGGUGUGAAAGCCCUGGGCUUAACCUAGGAAUUGCAUUUCAGACUGGGUAACUAGAGUACUUUAGGGAGGGGUAGAAUUCCACGUGUAGCGGUGAAAUGCGUAGAGAUGUGGAGGAAUACCGAAGGCGAAGGCAGCCCCUUGGGAAUGUACUGACGCUCAUGUGCGAAAGCGUGGGGAGCAAACAGGAUUAGAUACCCUGGUAGUCCACGCUGUAAACGCUGUCGAUUUGGGGGUUGGGGUUUAACUCUGGCGCCCGUAGCUAACGUGAUAAAUCGACCGCCUGGGGAGUACGGCCGCAAGGUUA
This 547-nucleotide ribosomal RNA is filed under the name uncultured bacterium. Its description in RNAcentral is "bacterial SSU rRNA". It matches the Rfam family "Bacterial small subunit ribosomal RNA", at positions 355 to 896 of the family's 1533-position model. The record is from RNAcentral.